CUUGCCUCUUGGUCUGGGACAACUGUUGGAAACGACAGCUAAUACCGGAUAUUAUGAGAUUCUCGCAUGGGAAACUUAUGAAAGCUAUAUGCGCCAAGAGAGAGCCUUGCGUUCCAUUAGCUAGUUGGUGGGGUAACGGCCCACCAAGGCGACGAUGGAUAGCCGGCCUGAGAGGGUGAACGGCCACAAGGGGACUGAGACACGGCCCUUACUCCUACGGGAGGCAGCAGUGGGGAAUAUUGGACAAUGGGCCACAAGCCUGAUCCAGCAAUUCUGUGUGCACGAUGAAGGUCUUCGGAUUGUAAAGUGCUUUCAGUUGGGAAGAAGAAAGUGACGGUACCAACAGAAGAAGCGACGGCUAAAUACGUGCCAGCAGCCGCGGUAAUACGUAUGUCGCAAGCGUUAUCCGGAUUUAUUGGGCGUAAAGUGCGUCUAGGCGGAAAAAUAAGUCUGAUGUUAAAAUGCGGGGCUCAACUCCGUAUUGCGUUGGAAACUGUUUUUCUAGAGUACUGGAGAGGUGGGCGGAACUACAAGUGUAGAGGUGAAAUUCGUAGAUAUUUGUAGGAAUGCCGAUGGAGAAGUCAGCUCACUGGACAGAUACUGACGCUAAAGCGCGAAAGCGUG
Molecule: ribosomal RNA, 624 nt
Filed under: uncultured bacterium
Lineage: Bacteria
Description: bacterial SSU rRNA
Rfam family: Bacterial small subunit ribosomal RNA
Source: RNAcentral